AUUGAACGCUGGCGGCAUGCCUUACACAUGCAAGUCGAACGGUAACAGGUCUUCGGAUGCUGACGAGUGGCGAACGGGUGAGUAAUACAUCGGAACGUGCCCGAUCGUGGGGGAUAACGAAGCGAAAGCUUUGCUAAUACCGCAUAAGAUCUACGGAUGAAAGCAGGGGACCGCAAGGCCUUGCGCGAACGGAGCGGCCGAUGGCAGAUUAGGUAGUUGGUGGGAUAAAAGCUUACCAAGCCGACGAUCUGUAGCUGGUCUGAGAGGACGACCAGCCACACUGGGACUGAGACACGGCCCAGACUCCUACGGGAGGCAGCAGUGGGGGAUUUUGGACAAUGGGCGAAAGCCUGAUCCAGCCAUGCCGCGUGCAGGAUGAAGGCCUUCGGGUUGUAAACUGCUUUUGUACGGAACGAAAAGACUCUGGUUAAUACCUGGGGUCCAUGACGGUACCGUAAGAAUAAGCACCGGCUAACUACGUG
This 482-nucleotide ribosomal RNA is filed under the name uncultured bacterium. RNAcentral describes it as "partial 16S ribosomal RNA". It matches the Rfam family "Bacterial small subunit ribosomal RNA", at positions 30 to 507 of the family's 1533-position model. The record is from RNAcentral.